GUUAAGCGACUAAGCGUACACGGUGGAUGCCCUGGCAGUCAGAGGCGAUGAAGGACGUGCUAAUCUGCGAUAAGCGUCGGUAAGGUGAUAUGAACCGUUAUAACCGGCGAUUUCCGAAUGGGGAAACCCAGUGUGUUUCGACACACUAUCAUUAACUGAAUCCAUAGGUUAAUGAGGCGAACCGGGGGAACUGAAACAUCUAAGUACCCCGAGGAAAAGAAAUCAACCGAGAUUCCCCCAGUAGCGGCGAGCGAACGGGGAGCAGCCCAGAGCCUGAAUCAGUGUGUGUGUUAGUGGAAGCGUCUGGAAAGGCGCGCGAUACAGGGUGACAGCCCCGUACACAAAAAUGCACAUGCUGUGAGCUCGAUGAGUAGGGCGGGACACGUGGUAUCCUGUCUGAAUAUGGGGGGACCAUCCUCCAAGGCUAAAUACUCCUGACUGACCGAUAGUGAACCAGUACCGUGAGGGAAAGGCGAAAAGAACCCCGGCGAGGGGAGUGAAAAAGAACCUGAAACCGUGUACGUACAAGCAGUGGGAGCACGCUUAGGCGUGUGACUGCGUACCUUUUGUAUAAUGGGUCAGCGACUUAUAUUCUGUAGCAAGGUUAACCGAAUAGGGGAGCCGAAGGGAAACCGAGUCUUAACUGGGCGUUAAGUUGCAGGGUAUAGACCCGAAACCCGGUGAUCUAGCCAUGGGCAGGUUGAAGGUUGGGUAACACUAACUGGAGGACCGAACCGACUAAUGUUGAAAAAUUAGCGGAUGACUUGUGGCUGGGGGUGAAAGGCCAAUCAAACCGGGAGAUAGCUGGUUCUCCCCGAAAGCUAUUUAGGUAGCGCCUCGUGAAUUCAUCUCCGGGGGUAGAGCACUGUUUCGGCAAGGGGGUCAUCCCGACUUACCAACCCGAUGCAAACUGCGAAUACCGGAGAAUGUUAUCACGGGAGACACACGGCGGGUGCUAACGUCCGUCGUGAAGAGGGAAACAACCCAGACCGCCAGCUAAGGUCCCAAAGUCAUGGUUAAGUGGGAAACGAUGUGGGAAGGCCCAGACAGCCAGGAUGUUGGCUUAGAAGCAGCCAUCAUUUAAAGAAAGCGUAAUAGCUCACUGGUCGAGUCGGCCUGCGCGGAAGAUGUAACGGGGCUAAACCAUGCACCGAAGCUGCGGCAGCGACGCUUAUGCGUUGUUGGGUAGGGGAGCGUUCUGUAAGCCUGUGAAGGUGUACUGUGAGGUAUGCUGGAGGUAUCAGAAGUGCGAAUGCUGACAUAAGUAACGAUAAAGCGGGUGAAAAGCCCGCUCGCCGGAAGACCAAGGGUUCCUGUCCAACGUUAAUCGGGGCAGGGUGAGUCGACCCCUAAGGCGAGGCCGAAAGGCGUAGUCGAUGGGAAACAGGUUAAUAUUCCUGUACUUGGUGUUACUGCGAAGGGGGGACGGAGAAGGCUAUGUUGGCCGGGCGACGGUUGUCCCGGUUUAAGCGUGUAGGCUGGUUUUCCAGGCAAAUCCGGAAAAUCAAGGCUGAGGCGUGAUGACGAGGCACUACGGUGCUGAAGCAACAAAUGCCCUGCUUCCAGGAAAAGCCUCUAAGCAUCAGGUAACAUCAAAUCGUACCCCAAACCGACACAGGUGGUCAGGUAGAGAAUACCAAGGCGCUUGAGAGAACUCGGGUGAAGGAACUAGGCAAAAUGGUGCCGUAACUUCGGGAGAAGGCACGCUGAUAUGUAGGUGAAGUCCCUUGCGGAUGGAGCUGAAAUCAGUCGAAGAUACCAGCUGGCUGCAACUGUUUAUUAAAAACACAGCACUGUGCAAACACGAAAGUGGACGUAUACGGUGUGACGCCUGCCCGGUGCCGGAAGGUUAAUUGAUGGGGUCAGCGCAAGCGAAGCUCUUGAUCGAAGCCCCGGUAAACGGCGGCCGUAACUAUAACGGUCCUAAGGUAGCGAAAUUCCUUGUCGGGUAAGUUCCGACCUGCACGAAUGGCGUAAUGAUGGCCAGGCUGUCUCCACCCGAGACUCAGUGAAAUUGAACUCGCUGUGAAGAUGCAGUGUACCCGCGGCAAGACGGAAAGACCCCGUGAACCUUUACUAUAGCUUGACACUGAACAUUGAGCCUUGAUGUGUAGGAUAGGUGGGAGGCUUUGAAGUGUGGACGCCAGUCUGCAUGGAGCCGACCUUGAAAUACCACCCUUUAAUGUUUGAUGUUCUAACGUGGACCCGUGAUCCGGGUUGCGGACAGUGUCUGGUGGGUAGUUUGACUGGGGCGGUCUCCUCCUAAAGAGUAACGGAGGAGCACGAAGGUUGGCUAAUCCUGGUCGGACAUCAGGAGGUUAGUGCAAUGGCAUAAGCCAGCUUGACUGCGAGCGUGACGGCGCGAGCAGGUGCGAAAGCAGGUCAUAGUGAUCCGGUGGUUCUGAAUGGAAGGGCCAUCGCUCAACGGAUAAAAGGUACUCCGGGGAUAACAGGCUGAUACCGCCCAAGAGUUCAUAUCGACGGCGGUGUUUGGCACCUCGAUGUCGGCUCAUCACAUCCUGGGGCUGAAGUAGGUCCCAAGGGUAUGGCUGUUCGCCAUUUAAAGUGGUACGCGAGCUGGGUUUAGAACGUCGUGAGACAGUUCGGUCCCUAUCUGCCGUGGGCGCUGGAGAACUGAGGGGGGCUGCUCCUAGUACGAGAGGACCGGAGUGGACGCAUCACUGGUGUUCGGGUUGUCAUGCCAAUGGCACUGCCCGGUAGCUAAAUGCGGAAGAGAUAAGUGCUGAAAGCAUCUAAGCACGAAACUUGCCCCGAGAUGAGUUCUCCCUGACCCUUUAAGGGUCCUGAAGGAACGUUGAAGACGACGACGUUGAUAGGCCGGGUGUGUAAGCGCAGCGAUGCGUUGAGCUAACCGGUACUAAUGAACCGUGAGGCUUAACCUUACAACGCCGAAGCUGUU
This 2920-nucleotide ribosomal RNA is filed under the name Escherichia coli. Its description in RNAcentral is "partial 23S ribosomal RNA". It matches the Rfam family "Bacterial large subunit ribosomal RNA". Lineage: Bacteria; Pseudomonadati; Pseudomonadota; Gammaproteobacteria; Enterobacterales; Enterobacteriaceae. The record is from RNAcentral.